RNAcentral lists this ribosomal RNA (253 nucleotides) under uncultured bacterium. Its description in RNAcentral is "partial 16S ribosomal RNA". It matches the Rfam family "Bacterial small subunit ribosomal RNA", at positions 524 to 776 of the family's 1533-position model. The record is from RNAcentral.
UACAGAGGGGGCAAGCGUUGUUCGGAAUUACUGGGCGUAAAGGGCGCGUAGGCGGCCUGUUAAGUCGAACGUGAAAUACCCGGGCUCAACCCGGGAACUGCGUCCGAUACUGGCAGGCUUGAAUUCGGGAGAGGGAUGUGGAAUUCCAGGUGUAGCGGUGAAAUGCGUAGAUAUCUGGAGGAACACCGGUGGCGAAGGCGGCAUCCUGGACCGAUAUUGACGCUGAUGCGCGAAAGCCAGGGGAGCAAACGGG